Molecule: ribosomal RNA, 253 nt
Filed under: uncultured bacterium
Lineage: Bacteria
Description: partial 16S ribosomal RNA
Rfam family: Bacterial small subunit ribosomal RNA
Source: RNAcentral
UACGAAGGGGACUAGCGUUGUUCGGAAUCACUGGGCGUAAAGCGCACGUAGGCGGAUGUGUCAGUCAGGGGUGAAAUCCCGGGGCUCAACCUCGGAACUGCCUUUGAUACAGCACGUCUCGAGUCCGGAAGAGGUGGGUGGAAUUCCUAGUGUAGAGGUGAAAUUCGUAGAUAUUAGGAAGAACACCGGUGGCGAAGGCGGCCCACUGGCCCGGUACUGACGCUGAGGCGCGAAAGCGUGGGGAGCAAACGGG